Molecule: long non-coding RNA, 418 nt
Organism: Cyprinus carpio (common carp)
Lineage: Eukaryota; Metazoa; Chordata; Actinopteri; Cypriniformes; Cyprinidae
Source: Ensembl
UUAUUUCUCUUAACAUGCUAAACAUUUCUUUUAAUAUUUCUAUGUUUUGUAGUAACCAUUAUACUUCUGACUGAACUAGCAAGUUGCUUUGGGGACAAUGAGAAAAACUCAAAAGAAGAUACUUUGAAGAAUGCUGGUAAUCAAACCCAACAAGUUUGUCAGCUAUGGACAGUAUGAAGGGGACAAAAUGAUUUCCAUAUUUUGGGUGCAGAAAUAAAAGCUCCCAAACAAAGAUGUCACCGGAUUAAGAAGUGAAAAGACAUGUUGCACCACAACAACCAUAAAUCCUGAGUAAUUUGAAUAUGGGCAACAACCGAGGAAAAGUACCCACUGUUUUAGUCAGAAAUGAUUCAUGGUAAUAGUAAUAGUAAAUGAUUAGAUAAAUAAAUAAAAAGUACAAAAUGGUUUUAAUUUUAAA